Molecule: ribosomal RNA, 388 nt
Filed under: uncultured eukaryote
Lineage: Eukaryota
Description: partial 18S ribosomal RNA
Rfam family: Eukaryotic small subunit ribosomal RNA
Source: RNAcentral
CAAUAGCGUAUAUUAAAGUUGUUGCAGUUAAAAAGCUCGUAGUUGGAUUUCUGAUCGAGACAUCAGGUCGGGUCCGAGAGGAUCAUGUACUUUGAUUUUGUUUUGAUCAUCCUUGGGGAGAGCAUUUCUGGCAUUCAGUUGUCGGGAUUGGGAUCCUCAUCGUUUACUGUGAAAAAAUUAGAGUGUUCAAAGCAGGCCUCGGCCUCUGAAUACAUUAGCAUGGAAUAAUAAGAUAGGACUUUGGUGGUCUAUUUUGUUGGUUUGCACGCCAAAGUAAUGAUUAAUAGGGAUAGUUGGGGGUAUUCGUAUUCAAUUGUCAGAGGUGAAAUUCUUGGGUUUAUGGAAGACGAACUACUGCGAAAGCAUUUACCAAGGAUGUUUUCAUUAA